CCCGCCUCGCCCCCGCCUCCCCGGCCUCGCCGCUCCGUCGCCUCCUGGGACUGCGGCCCACGCGCCCCGCCCGCCCCGCUGAGGUGGAACCCGAGGCCGGAGCUUAGCGCCCAGUAGAGGUAUUGAGACGUCCUCGGACUGAAAGAACGGUGAGACUCAACGAAUCUCCCCGCACCCCUGGCCCUUUUCCCUCGGGCUUUCACAGCUUCCUCCUAAAGUGGAAAAAUGGGAAAGACUUGGAGGCUGCCAAGCCAAAGUGGAAACCUCGGUACCUGUGAAAUUAAAGCAACAUCCUAAUGCCCGGAUUCUUUUAAUAGAAGAUGUUCAGAGGAACUUUAUUCUCUCCUACUCACCCUGCUAACAUUCACAGAAGGUCUAGAUGUUCAGGUAUCUCUGAAUUAUUCGUCAAGUUGCUGCCACGAAUUCUGUAGCAGCAGGAGGACUGAAAGAGAAGUCAUCUUUGCCGGGGUUGUAGUAAACGAACAUGUUUCCAGCUUUCAGAGACAAGUUUGGGAAGCUGCAGAUACCUCAGACAGUUUUCUUGCCUCUGCUGGACAGGGUGCGGAGAGCAGAGGGAGGGGAAGAGAAGCCAGCGCUUUCUUAACCCCAUUGUCUAAGCAGAGUAGAAUGUACUCGGGUCAGAAGUGCAAUUCAUGUAUACCAAAACAUUCCCCCAUUCCUAUCCUUCCCAUGUCAGGUCUCACCCAAAGGAACGAAUAUUUAUCCAACUUAUCCCCUGUUCUAAACGCCACAGGACGAAGCUCACCGACCCAAACUAUUUUACUCACACCCUAGUCUUACCCACGUCCCACUCUUCCCCGAUUCCCCAGAUUUUCUCAUUGCUCAGCAAAAUCCCCUUUGUUUCAAGUCCUGUGACUAUUUCCUUAGCAUUCUUGCCAUAGCUGAAACCUACUGCUUCCCCCUUUAGUCCCUCUCUAGUCUCCUCUCCUCAGUCUACUCUUGGGAAGUUGCUGUAAUUUAGAUUAAUAAAUUUGGAAAGAAUAA
Molecule: long non-coding RNA, 1005 nt
Organism: Heterocephalus glaber (naked mole-rat)
Lineage: Eukaryota; Metazoa; Chordata; Mammalia; Rodentia; Bathyergidae
Source: RefSeq, a predicted model, not a curated record